This 258-nucleotide ribosomal RNA is filed under the name uncultured archaeon. RNAcentral describes it as "partial 16S ribosomal RNA". It matches the Rfam family "Archaeal small subunit ribosomal RNA", at positions 732 to 982 of the family's 1478-position model. The record is from RNAcentral.
ACUACCCGCGUACGUCCGAGGGUAGUAAACGCUGCAGACGUUGGUUGGUUCGGGUACCCGUUCGGGGGUGUUCAGUGCCGGAGAGAAGUUGUUAAGUCUGCUACUUGGGGAGUACGUCCGCAAGGAUGAAACUUAAAGGAAUUGGCGGGGGAGCACCGCAACGGGAGGAACGUGCGGUUUAAUUGGAUUCAACACCGGAAACUCACCAGCAGCGACUGUUACAUGAAAGUCAGGCCGAUGACCUUACUAGAUUUUCAG